GACGAACGCUGGCGGCGUGCCUAAUACAUGCAAGUCGAACGAGAGCGACCGGUGCUUGCACUGGUCAAUCCAGUGGCGAACGGGUGAGUAACACGUGGGUAACCUGCCCAUCAGAGGGGGAUAACAUUCGGAAACGGAUGCUAAAACCGCAUAGGUCUUCGAACCGCAUGGUUUGAAGAGGAAAAGAGGCGCAAGCUUCUGCUGAUGGAUGGACCCGCGGUGCAUUAGCUAGUUGGUGAGGUAACGGCUCACCAAGGCCGUGAUGCAUAGCCGACCUGAGAGGGUGAUCGGCCACAUUGGGACUGAGACACGGCCCAAACUCCUACGGGAGGCAGCAGUAGGGAAUCUUCCGCAAUGGACGCAAGUCUGACGGAGCAACGCCGCGUGAGUGAAGAAGGUUUUCGGAUCGUAAAACUCUGUUGUUAGAGAAGAAUAAGUGCUAGAGUAACUGUUAGCGCCUUGACGGUAUCUAACCAGAAAGCCACGGCUAACUACGUG
This 498-nucleotide ribosomal RNA is filed under the name uncultured bacterium. RNAcentral's name for it is "partial 16S ribosomal RNA". It matches the Rfam family "Bacterial small subunit ribosomal RNA", at positions 28 to 507 of the family's 1533-position model. The record is from RNAcentral.